UGCUUGAAGAGGUGCAGUUGAGACUUGACUUCGAGGAGCAACUCAUAGCACGCGGUGUGGUAGCCUUUUUUGAGGUUUUUGAAGACUUUGGCGAUUUUUGAAGCUUUUCCAAAACUUCUUUUGCAGCCAUUUGGUAAGUUAAACUUUUAAAACUUUUUUUGGGGUUUUGGAUUUUGGGUUGGGGUGUUUGGAAUUCAAGGACUUGGUGUUGGGGAGGGGUUUGCAAGAAUCUGGAAGCUUGUGUGGUUUUUUUCUGCAUUUUUAUGAUUUUCUGUGACCAUUGGGCCACUCUGCUGUUUUUUAUAUAAACUUCUGGUUUGGAAUUUCUGUGUGGUGGGUGGCUGGGGGAACAGUUGAGGACGGGUUUGCUAGAAUCUGGGAGCUUGUGUGGUUUUUUAAAAAUUUUUAUGAUUUUCUGUGACCAUUGGGCCAUGUUGUUUUUUUUCAAAAAAAAAUUCUGAGUUUGAAUUUCUAUGUGGUGGGUGGCUGGGGGAACAGUUGGGGAGGGGUUUGCAAGAAUCUGGGAGCUUGUGUGGUUUUUUUUUUUAAUUUUUAUGAUUUUCUGUGACCAUUGGGCCAUGUUUUUUUUUUAAAAAAAAAAUUCUGGGUUUGAAUUUCUGUGUGGUGGGUGGCUGGGGGAACAGUUGGGGAGGGGUUUGCAAGAAUCUGGGAGCUUGUGUGGUUUUUUUUUUAAAUUUUUAUGAUUUUCUGUGACGAUUGGGCCAUGUUGUUGUUGUUUUUUUAAUUUUCUGGGUUUGAAUUUCUGUGUGAUGGGUGGCUGGGGGAACAGUUGGGGAGAGGUUUGCAAGAAUCUGGGAGCUUGUGUGGGGUUUUUUUUUGAAUUUUUAUGAUUUUCUGUGACCAUUGGGCCAUGUUGUUUUUUUUUAGUUUUUUUUUUUUCUGGGUUUGAAUUUCUGUGUGGUGGGUGGCUGGGGGAACAGUUGGGAAGGGGUUUGCAAGAAUCUGGGAGCUUGUGUGGGUUUUUUUUUAAUUUUUAUGAUUUUCUGUGACCAUUGGGCCAUGUUGUUGUUUUUUUUUUUAAAAAAAAAUUCUGGGUUUGAAUUUCUGUGUGGUGGGUGGCUGGGGGAACAGUUGGGGAGGGGUUUCCAAGAAUCUGGGAGCUUGUGUGGUUUUUUUUUUUGAAUUUUUAUGAUUUUCUGUGACCAUUGGGCCAUGUUGUGUUUUUAAAAAAAAUAAAAUUCUGGGUUUGAAUUUCUGUGUGGUGGGUGGCUGGGGGAACAGUUGGGAAGGGGUUUGCAAGAAUCUGGGAGCUUGUGUGGGUUUUUUUCUGCAUUUUUAUGAUUUUCUGUGACCAUUGGGCCAUGUUUUUUUUUUAAAAAAAAUUCUGGGUUUGAAUUUCUGUGUGGUGGGUGGCUGGGGGAACAGUUGGGGAGGGGUUUGCAAGAAUCUGGGAGCUUGUGUGGUUUUUUUUUUUUAAUUUUUAUGAUUUUCUGUGACCAUUGGGCCAUGUUGUUUUUUUAUAAAAAAAAAUUCUGGGUUUGAAUUUCUGUGUGGUGGGUGGCUGGGGGAACAGUUGGGGAGGGGUUUGCAAGAAUCUGGGAGCUUGUGUGGUUUUUUUUUUGAAUUUUUAUGAUUUUCUGUGACCAUUGGCCAUGUUGUUUAUUUAAAAAAAUUUUUCUGGGUUUGAAUUUCUGUGUGGUUGGUGGCUGGGGGAACAGUUGGGGAGGGGUUUGCAAGAAUCUGGGAGCUUGUGUUUUUUGUUUUUUUUUUGGAAUUUUUAUGGUUUUCUGUGACCAUUGGGCCAUGUUGUGUUUAAAAAAAAAUAAAAAAUUCUGGGUUUGAAUUUCUGUGUGGUGGGUGGCUGGGGGAACAGUUGGGGAGGGGCUUGCAAGAAUCUGGGAGCUUGUGUGGUUUUUUUUUUUGAAUUUUUAUGAUUUUCUGUGACCAUUGGGCCAUGUUUUUUUUUUUAAAAAAAAGCAUUCUGGGUUUGAAUUUCUGUGUGGUGGGUUGGGGAGGGGUUUGCAACAGUUGGGGAGGGGUUUGCAAUUUCUGUGUGGUGGGUGGGUGGCUGGGGGAACAGUUGAGGUUUUUGAAGACUUUGGUGAUUUUUGAAGCUUUUCCAAAACUUCUUUGCAGCCAUUUGAGGUUUUAGAAGACUUUGGCGAUUUUUGAAGCUUUUCCAAAACUUCUUUUGCAGCCAUUUGGUAAGUUAAACUUUUAAAACUUUUUUGGGGGGUUUUGGAUUUUGGGUUGGGUGUUUGGAAUUCAAGGACUUGGUUCUGGGUUUGAAUUUCUGUGUGGUGGGUGGCUGGGUGCUUUUGAAUUUUUUGGAUGUGAAGCACUGAUUUUUUUUAUUUUUUUUUUGGGUUUGCGCAGGUAGGAGCUGUGCUGCCAUGGGACCCAAGAAGACUGCUGCUGCAGAGGCCGGCGAGAGGAAGAAGGAGAAGGUGAUGCUGGAAAUGAAGAAGGAGAUCAUCCGGAAGCACGACGGUGGAAUGCGUGUGACAGACCUCGCCAGGGAGUACGGGAGGAAUCCAUCGACCAUCGGGACCAUCCUGAAGAUGAGGGAGAAGAUCCUUGCGACUGAUGCAGCCAAGGGAGUCACCAGGAUCGUAAAGAACCGCCCAGCUGUUCUGGAGGAGUUCGAGAAGUUGCUGCUCAUCUGGUUAGAAGAGAAGCAGCGUACAGGGGACACAGUGACUGAGGCCGUCAUUUGUGAGAAGGCCAAGGCCUUGCAUGCAGACCUCGUCCGGGAACAGCCAGGAACCUCAGGCGAGCCAGAAGUCUUAAAGGCAAGCAGAGGUUGGUUCAAGGCAAGAUCUGGAAUCCACAGCGUGGUCAGGCAUGGAGAGGCUGCCAGUUCUGAUGUUCCUGCGGCUGAAGACUUUGCAGCGGAGUUCCUGGAGGCUGUGAAGACGGAGGGCUACGUUCCACAGCAGGUCUUCAACUGCGACGAGACCGGGCUGUUUUGGAAGAGGAUGCCCAAAAGGACUUUCAUCACUCAGGAGGAGGCCAAGUUGCCUGGCCACAAGCCCAUGCAGGACCAUCUGACCCUGCUCUUCUGUGCCAACGCAAGCGGCGACCUGAAGAACAAGCCCCUGCUGGUGUACCACUCGGAGAACCCACGGGCCUUCAAGAAACACAAGGUCGACAAGGAGCAGCUGAGUGUCAUGUGGUGAUCCAACAGUAAGGCUUGGGUCACACGUGUGCUGGUUGUGGACUGGGGCAAUCUUGCUUUGGCCCUGCUGUCAAACAGUACCUGCUGGACAACGACCUGCCGCUGAAGGCUUUGCUUCUGAUGGACAAUGCUCCUGCUCAUCCUAAAGGCCUUGAGUUGGACUUGUUGGAGGAGUUUCAGCUUCAUCAGCAUCAUGUUCCUGCCGCCUAACACCACGCCACUGCUCCAGCCGAUGGAUCAGCAGGUCAUCGCCAAUUUCAAAAAACUCUACACCAAGGAGCUUUUCAGGCGAUGCUUCGAGGUGACUGAUUGCACCACCAUCACCCUGCGGGAAUUCUGGAAGGAUCACUUCAACAUCGUCACCUGCUUGAAGAUGAUCACCACGGCCUGGAACGGGAUCAGCCAGAGAAAUUUGAAUUGCGCUUGGCGCAGCCUGUGGCCGGACUGUGUGGCACCAAGUGACUCUGAUGCACCAGAGUCAACAGUGGUGCAGGACAUUGUUGCCUUGGGCAGGACCAUGGGCCUGGAGGUCACAGAGGAGGACAUCAGCAAGCUGGUGGAGGAGUACGACCACGAGCUGACCACCCAGGAGCUGGUCGAACUGCAGGCAGAGGCUGCGCAGGAGCAGGCCUCGCUGGAAGAGGAGGAAGCAACUGAGGAACGGCUGUCCUCCAAAGAACUGAGGGACAUUUGCAUGAAGUGGAAGGAUGUGCAGGCUUUGCACAGCGGCACCACCCUGACAAGCACGUGGCACAUGACCUUGCGAACACUUUUGAUACGAGGGUCAUGUCGCCUUUCAGGGAGGUGCUGAAAAGGCGGAUGAAGCAGCAGACCAUGGACAGGUUCUUCAGCAAGAAGCAAAGAGUGGAAGAGGAACCUUCUUCGAGUGGUCCCCCAGAGUCUUAGAAAAUGUACUGUACACUUUGUUGAUUUUUAAAUGUUUUUCUGUCAUGUUUAGAAACUUAAUUUAUUGUUCCUUCAGUUUUUGAAAUGCUCUUUACAGUAUGUGUGACUUUAAAGAGCACUUAAUAAACUCUUGUUGUACCAAAUUUGGCUUUGUUUGGACUUUUUUUGACCAUAGGAACGCAUUAAUUGAAUUUCAAUGCAUUCCUAUGGGAUUUCGUGCUUCGCUAGACGAAAAAUUCGCUAGACGAAAAAACUUGCGGAACGAAUUAAUUUCGUCUUGCGAGGCACCACUGUAGUGUUUUGCAGAGAUGAAAGCAGGUGUAGUGGUGGGGGAGAAAUUAAGUGUGGAAGCUCAGGAGCGCUGACAGAAAGAGGCCACUGUGAUUCCCCCCACCCACUUCCUCAUUUUUUAACACCCCCCCACACACACGAGAAAGAGAGAGCGAGAGAGAGCGAGAGCACCAAAGAUGUUCUUUUGUCUCUUAGCUGUGCCGCUCUUCAAAAAGUAUUCAUCUUAAAUUAGGGUCAUGGUGGGGCUCAUUAAAUGUUUCACUAAAGGUUGUUUCAUUUGGGGCUGAUAUUCUGCCAAUCAAAUUGUCCAGAGUGAAGGUAGGAGCUGUAACUGUGCAAAGUGAUAAUAGCACCUGGGGAAAUAAAGGUUGAGGCUUAAAAUAAGUGUGUGUGUGUGUGUGUGUGUGUGUGUGUGUGUAGAGAAUUAUCCAUCCUUGGGAGAACAAAUCUAACCUGGAAAGAUACUUCCAAAAGCUAAACAGGAUGAUGUGAUGGGGGAGGCAGUGGGGAGGCAGGGAGAAGAAUGAAAAAAACAAUGCAAGUUCCAAAGUGGAUUUUCAGUUCCAACAUUUUAGUGCCUCGGGAGAAGGACAAGAUGGCAAGUCUCCCCUCCACUUGCCAUUGCACCACCACCAUUUACAGCUUUUAAAGAAAGUCUGGCUUUAGCAAUGAGAGAUGACCAGAAGAUAAGAAGAAUAAAGGUGGGCAGAAGAAAUCAGUAUUGUAAUACAGUAUAUGCAGAUGACAUAAUGUUACUUUUUUCCUACCAAUUAACCGUUUGGAAUAAAUUAAGGAGGUGAUUCAAUAAAUGGGUGGGGCUACUGAAUAGACGCAUCUAAAACAGAAUUUAUUGGAUUCUGUUUGAAGGGAGAGGACAAACUCCUUGAAUUUUUCUGUUGAAAAAGGAAAGGUAGGAGAUAUAUGCUGGGAGCAAACAAGCAAGCUAGGUGCUAUGUUAACGAUUAUUUCUUGAAGACAGGCUUGAUGGUGAAUGUGAUAAAGGUGGCCCACUGCUUGAUGGUUAUAUGUGCUUGACAAAAUGGAUUGCUGUUAAGAAAUGAAAAGAAGCUUGAGUAAAUCUUUUUCCUCAGCAGCGUUCAUAUAAAAAAAAUAAACUGGAAAAGAUACCAUGGCUGAUUGAUUUUGUUCUGUUCUCCAAAAGCUCCACUUGUGUCAAAACCAACUUCCAUUCCAUCAGGAGUAUGUUUGACAUUUGACGGGCUGUCACUGGAAAGACAAAUGUGUCCAAUCAAAAGCAGCUGAGGAGAGAGAUGACCUUUGCCGUCACUUCUUGAUGUGCUGUGAGCUAAUAAAUUAAGGAAAGGAGAUUAAAGAUACAGGCAGAUGGGGAGGCAGUUGGCUGGGCAGACAGGGUGAAGAGUUACGUUGUCUCUUGAGAUGGCCUUAUCAAAUAGCUGUUGCUGGAGGCUUCUUUCUAGAAUCUCAGUCAAAACCAGAAGCUACAUAAAGUUCUGCGUAAUUUCCCCUGGUUGCUUUGUAUAAGGUAGAGGGACCCCUGACCAUUAGGUCCAGUCGUGACUGACUCUGGGGUUGCGGCGCUCAUCUCGCUUUAUUGGCCAAGGGAGCCAGCGUACAGCUUCCAGGUCAUGUGGCCAGCAUGACUAAGCCACUUCUGGCAAACCAGAGCAGUGAAUGAAAAUGCCGUUUACCUUCCCGCCGGAGCAGUACCUAUUUAUCUACUUGCACUUUGACGUGCUUUUGAACUGCUAGGUUGGCAGGAGCUGGGACUGAGCAACAGGAGCUCACCCCGUCGUGGGGAUUCGAACUGCCGACCUUCUGAUCAGCAAGUCCUAGGCUCUGUGGUUUAACCCACAGCGCCACCCGUGCCCCUUGGUUGCUUUGUAUACGUAACUGAAAAAAGCAGAGCCUGGAGACUGCAAUCAGGAAUUGAGGAAGGGUGAGAGGUGGUUCGCCACUCUCUGCUGGCCAUUUUCCUCCUUUUGUUGUUCAAAGAUAAAUUACAAAAAUGAGGAAGAAAAAGGAGAGUGUUCAUAACACAAUGAUGAUGAUGAUGACGACGACGACGACGACGACAAUGAUUUAUUUAUACCCUGUCCAUCUGGCUGGGUUUCCCCAGCCACUCUGGGCGGCUUCCAACAAAAUAUUAAAAUACAAUAGUCUGUCAAACAUUAAAAGCUUCCCUAAACAGGGCUGCCUUCAGUUUUCUUCUAAAAGUCUGGUAGUUGUUUUUCUCUGUUCCCUGUAACUUGGCUUCUUCGCAGCAAGGGAACAGCCAGAAGGCCCUCAGCACUGGACCUCAGUGUCCGGGCAGAACAAUGGGGGUGGAGACAUUCCUUCAGGUAUACUGGACCGAGGCCCUUUAGGGCUUUAAAGGUCAGCACCAACGCUUUGAAUUGUGCUCGGAAAUGUACUGGGAGCCAAUGCAGAUCUCUCAGAACCGGUGUUAUGUGGUCUUGGUGGCCACUCCGAGUCACCAGUCUAGAUGCCACAUUCUGGAUUAGUUGUAGUUUCUGGGUCACUUUCAAAAAAUAUUUGUGCACAGGAUAAUACUUAGUUUCAGGUCACAUCCACAACAAACACAAUGAACACCUUAUGUUAAGUGAUGAAUUAAUAUGUUUAAUUUCAUAAUGUGAAGAUCUAAGGAUGUUAAUGUUAAAGUUAAAUUUUAUAAGAACUGUGAUUUGGAAAACCGUUAAAAGGAUAUGCAAUGAAAUUCAACCAAGGGGAAGCGAGGAAGUCACUUAACAAUGUUAAUAAUCUUCAAUAAGGCUAUGGUUUAUGUUUCUUUGUCUUAUGUGUUUGUUUGUUUAUAAUGUUGUGAAAACCAAUAAAAAAAAUUUAGAGGGAAAAAAUGAACACCUGUACCACUAUCAUGGUCAUGCGCCCCCCCCCCCAAUAAUUUUGGAGACUGUAGUUUGUUCAGGGUCUCCUGACAACUCUCAGUACCCUUAACAAACUAUAGUUGCCAGGAUUCUUUUGGGGGAAGCCAUGAGUGUUAAAAUGCUAAAAUAACUCUUAUGUGUUAAGAUAAAUAGAAAUGCAGAUAUUUUGUAUCGUACUUCUACAUUACUUAGAGUGAAGCAGUGAAAUGCAUUGUAUGCUGGAAGAUAAUGUAAGAUGUAAUAAUAUUUCAAUAUGUCUCCUACUAACAAAUACAAAUUUAUUUGUUCUUGCUCUCUGUUAUUCCAAUGAAAUAUAAACAACUUCCAUUUUUCACCCAAUGCCUUCUGUCAAAAUAGAUUUUCCACCCAUGAGAGAAAAUAUAUAGACCCCUGUAUCUUUUUCCUUGUGCUGGGGAAUAAACAAACAAGCAGCUUGAGCGGCCUGUGGCUCUGUGUGCGCACAAACAUGUUUUUGGAUAAUAUCCUACGCAGAGUAAAUUGGAAUUAUUUUCAUUAGAGACUAAUAUGAUUCAAUCUCAUUUCUUUUGUAGGUUUAUCUAGCAACAACGAUGCCUUCACAACCGCCCCUCCAAAACUCAUCAGGCUAAGACAUCUUAAUGCUGCUGCUUAAACAUUUCAUUUGGGAUGAACUGAACUAGCCUCUUUGCUUUUGUUGGUAUUCUAGUAGUAAUUUGGUUAAAGAAUAAAAUGAGAAUUCCCAGGAUGCCUAGAGCCCGUUCUGAGGCAAGUAUGCUUUUGUGUGAGAGAGUUCAAAUCAAUAAACAUGUAGCAAAGUAAAGCAGAAAUAUAGGCCUUUAGUCAUUUAAAAUAUCCCCUUCUAAGUUGCUUCCAAAGUUCCCCGCUUCCCCUUAAGCAUAGAAAGCACUUAAACUCUUCUAAGGUUAGAUUCAUGUGCUUUUCCAUAUAGCAAGAAAAGGCAGUACAAUUUCAUUUCAAAGUUGGUAAAUGUUUCUAAAUUAUUUGUAUUGAAAUACAGAGGUGAC
Non-coding RNA from Podarcis lilfordi (Lilford's wall lizard), 8204 nucleotides. The record is from the annotation of a GenBank genome assembly. Lineage: Eukaryota; Metazoa; Chordata; Lepidosauria; Squamata; Lacertidae.